This is a non-coding RNA of Chrysemys picta bellii (western painted turtle), 2748 nucleotides long. The record is from RefSeq and is a predicted model, not a curated record. Lineage: Eukaryota; Metazoa; Chordata; Testudines; Emydidae.
CCGGUUCCCGUUGCUGUUAAUGCCCUUCGUUGCCAUGGGUGUCUAGUCUCUGACUGAUUCUUGUUCCCUUUCAGCAGGAGGAUGUUAGCGCAACGAUCAUGGUGCACCUGUUCUACAUCCGGUGCUUGCACCAGGUGCCCAAAGCACUGCAGGGGCUGUGUGCAGUGGGACACCUUUGAAGUCCCCUCUGCCCCCUCGCAUGACCAGAAGCUCCCACUCCCUGCUGCAGGAAGGGAGUCCCCCAAUGAGGGGUCUUUAGAGCUCCAGCUGGGCAGUGCCUAGGAGAACCUGUAAAUCAUCCUGGUUCCCGCCUGCAUGCACCACCCUGCCCUGCCCUGCCCUCCGGUUCCUCGCUAUUGACUCUGGCUUGACCCUUGGCUCCGGUCUCUGGUUAUGACUUCAGCGUGACCCUUCUUGGCUCCAGAUGUUGGCUACCCACCCUGGUUCCGUAUUCUCCUUGCCCUUCUCUAGCCCUGCUCCAGGCCCCCCACCGACCCGCUCCAGCAUUGCCUUUUCCUCCUUAUCUUCCCCAAGCAGUCGGACUUUGACUACCCGGCUUUGACUCUCGUCCUGUAUCUGGACUCUGGCUUGACAUUGGCUUGGCUGAUCUUUGGUCUCUGACUACCCGGCUAUGACCUCUGGCCUGGACUUGGACACUGGCUCUGCUUCUGCUUUGUCGAUGGACUCUGAUCUCGGUUUUGACCCUGGUGUGUCCCUGGACCUUGAUUCUAGCACCAUUCUUAGCCUAGGCACAAUCCUGCACCUCCCUGCGACCUGCGCUCCAACCACUGGGCCUAAUUAUCAGACUCAGCACGUGACAUUAGGUGGUGCAACUUUUUGCAGAAAAGCAGGCCCUCCACAAGUAAGUGGCCCGUAUGCAAAAGGGACACACCACACCAGAUGUGAACAAUGACCUCACUACCUGAGCCUCGUCCAAUGCAGCCCCGACUGGAGUUGUGCAAUGGAAAUGACUGAAAAAAUGUUGGGGUUCCUUUAACCAGCCUCCGCCCCUGGACCUACUCCACCAUUCUUGACUCAGACACCCGGCAAUCCUGAUAAAUGCCCGGAUUACAUGGAUAUCUUUGAAAGAAAUGGGGGUUCGUUUCCGCUGCACUGGUACUAUGACUGCCCUAUUGACCUAUAGCCUUGGUUGAAAGUUGCCUUCCUCAGUAUUUACACAUUGCUGGAACCAGAAUUGGUGGCUCUCCCUGCAUACAGUUCUAAAAACUGAUCCUAAGAGUUUAUGACCAAAUAUGCGUUUCCCACGGGUGCCCAGGCCCUUUUUGGGAAGAAGAAAUGUGGGAGUCUACUACACCUCUCUUUAGACAAUCAGCCCCUGAAAAAACUGAUCGUUUGGAACCAUUAUCCCCUGCUGUGAAUCCCACAAUUGUUGGCUCACAGGAAAUCUGCAAAGUUGUUCAUCAAACUUCAUCUGCGAGGAUUUCCAAUCUAACGCUCAUUUGGCCAGGGGACAAAUGGAAACCAGAUUUCAAAGCACACUAUGGACAUUUUAACUGUCUGAUCGGCCAUUGGAGCGAACUAACGGUCCCCUGGCCUUGCAACACAUCAUCAGUGAUGUAUUUGGGGACAUAGUGGAUCCACACAGUGUCAUCUAUUCAGGUGACAGACUUCUCUUUCUGGAGAACCCGGAGCAGCACCCGCACCACACCCGAACCUGGAGAGGUUUCGGCAGCAUGGUCUCAACACAGAAUUGGAAAAGCGUACCUCCAGCCAACUCUCCUCAGAGGUUUUGGGGUACAUCCUCUCCCCAGAAGGUGUUACGAUUGAUCCAAAUAAAGUGGAAGCCAUUCAUAGAUGGGACGAAGUUUGAAGUCUUCAAGAAGAGCAGCACUGCCUAGACUUCACCCGCUUUACUGCUGCUUCCGCCCAGGGUUCUCAGAGCCAGUAACCUCCACGAGAGCUCUCCUCCACAUAACGGCCACAUUCGUUUGGUCACCCAAGUUCCAACAAGCCCGCAAACAGCUCAGAAUUGCCUUCCCCACAGCACCUAUUCGGAGGCUCAGCAUUCAUCAUGGAAGUAGAAGCAUCUACUAUGACCACCAGGGCCCGCUUCAUUUGGUGGUGCCAGAUGUGGGCUGAAAUUCAGACUUAGCUUGACUGACGUGACUUCUGUGCUUUCACCAAGGCACCACGCACCAAACUUCUUGGCAUCUCAGGCCUCUGGAGACCCUGCCCGGGCCAUGGGCAACCAUUGCCAGGAAUUUCACUGAUUCAAAUGGCCACAGGAUGGAACUGACUCUCAUAGAUCACCUGACCACAAUAGCGCGCUUCAUCCCCUUGUGAACGUGUACUGUCGAUUGAGAGGCCAGAUCAGUUCCGAAUUUGCAAAGGCCAAUGACACCUUUCUUUUGCUAAAUGUAGCUUUCCCACUGAUUUCAUGCCUCUCUAUGAAUGGCCUCUCUGAACUUCCCAGCUAUUGACCUGGGUCACCGUCAAGAAGAACGAAGGGAGCCCCUUGAGGACACUAGGAAGGAGUUCAGAUAGUGUCCAGACUGCUGAUGACAAGAGGAAAGCCAUUUGCUGAAGGGAGGUUCUGGGAUCUGUCCAUGUCACCUACAGCAAUGCAGCCUGCAGCUGGCCCAGCUUGGGGAGCCAUAACCUCAUCCUGUGAAAUCGAGAAAUACUGGCUGUCAGUGAUGCGUAGAUGGAAAACCACACACCCCACCUGGAGGUAGAAGCCACCCAUUCCUAGGUUUGCGCGGGGAGUGCUGAUUCCUCCAGGAGCUG